UUGUUGCGGUUAAAACGUUCGUAGUUGAAUUUGUGUCCCACACGGGUAAUUGGCCCACUUACGGGUUCUUAUUACUUGCCGGCUUGCUGGCUUUAGUGUGCGGACGUUUUACCGGUGAGGGAAACGGUGUAGUUUCGGCUGCAAUACGCCCCUUAUUUAUUUCAUAAACCCGUCUUGGUGCUUUUAAUCGAGUGCCAAUGUGGGCCGGUACUAUUACUUUGAACAAAUUAGAGUGCUUAAAGCAGGCUAAAUUUAAUGAAAGUUAAAACGCCUGAAUAUAUUUUGCAUGGAAUAAUGGAAUAGGACCUCUGUUCUACUUUCAUUGGUUUUUAGACCAAGAGGUAAUGAUUAAUAGAAGCAGUUGGGGGCAUUAGUAUUACGAGGCGAGAGGUGAAAUUCGUAGACCCUCGUAAGACUAACUUAAGCGAAAGCAUUUGCCAAGGAUGUUUUCAUUAAUCAAGAACGAAAGUUAGAGGAUCGAAGGCGAUCAGAUACCGCCCUAGUUCUAACCAUAAACGAUGCCAGCUAGCAAUUGUAUGUAGCUACUAAUUUUGGUUCAUACAGUCGCUUUCCGGGAAACCGAAGCUUUUGGGCUCCGGGGGAAGUAUGGUUGCAAAGCUGAAACUUAA
This 629-nucleotide ribosomal RNA is filed under the name uncultured eukaryote. RNAcentral describes it as "SSU rRNA". It matches the Rfam family "Eukaryotic small subunit ribosomal RNA", at positions 610 to 1147 of the family's 1831-position model. The record is from RNAcentral.